UCAAAGGUUGCUCAAAGGAGGCAAACAGAACAACUAGAACGUUGUAAUUAUUUUGUAACAAGUGAUUUUACCUAACUUCUAUGACGUUGGAUAAAUCUAUGACCUGCCAUAUUCUCUCCAAAAAAUAGAAGGGUUAAUUUCAGCUAGCAAACAAGCUCAGCCAGGUCCUGUAUCUCAUCCACCCCAUCAGUAAUAUCUCACAUCAUUCCAGCAAUCUCAAGAAUUACUCCAACUGAGUCACAUUCUGGAAAUGUGUUUGGACUAUUCAGCGUGGCUCUCAUGAUGACCUUAGUGUUCUCAUAAUUAGAGAUACUGAAGACCUUACCUUCUCUGCCAUGUGAGGAUACAGGAUGAAGGUGUCACCUGCAAGCCAGGAAGAAAGUCCUCAUGAAGACCUGACCAUAUGGCAUCCUGAUGUUGGGCUUCUGGCCUCCAAAAUCAUGAUAAAUAAAUUUCUGCUGUCUACAAAA
Molecule: long non-coding RNA, 470 nt
Organism: Homo sapiens (human)
Lineage: Eukaryota; Metazoa; Chordata; Mammalia; Primates; Hominidae
Exons: 2
Source: RefSeq, a predicted model, not a curated record